Molecule: ribosomal RNA, 468 nt
Filed under: uncultured bacterium
Lineage: Bacteria
Description: partial 16S ribosomal RNA
Rfam family: Bacterial small subunit ribosomal RNA
Source: RNAcentral
ACGAACGCUGGCGGCGUGCUUAACACCUGCAAGUCGAACGGAAAGGCCCUGCUUGCAGGGUGCUCGAGUGGCGAACGGGUGAGUAACACGUGGGUGAUCUGCCCCUUACUUUGGGAUAAGCCUGGGAAACUGGGUCUAAUACUGGAUAGGACCAUGCUGUAGGUGGUGUGGUGGAAAGAUUAGUUUCGGUAAGGGAUGAGCUCGCGGCCUAUCAGCUUGUUGGUGGGGUAAUGGCCUACCAAGGCGUCGACGGGUAGCCGGCCUGAGAGGGUGGACGGCCACAUUGGGACUGAGAGACGGCCCAGACUCCUACGGGAGGCAGCAGUGGGGAAUAUUGCACAAUGGGCGCAAGCCUGAUGCAGCGACGCCGCGUGGGGGAUGACGGCCUUCGGGUUAUAAACUCCUUUCAGCCAUGACGAAGCCCUUGUGGUGACGGUAGUGGUAGAAGAAGCACCGGCUAACUACGUG